RNAcentral lists this ribosomal RNA (395 nucleotides) under uncultured fungus. RNAcentral describes it as "partial small subunit ribosomal RNA". It matches the Rfam family "Eukaryotic small subunit ribosomal RNA", at positions 30 to 432 of the family's 1831-position model. The record is from RNAcentral. Lineage: Eukaryota; Fungi.
GCUUGUCUCAAAGAUUAAGCCAUGCAUGUCUCAGUAUAAGCUUUUACACGGCGAAACUGCGAAUGGCUCAUUAAAACAGUUAUCGUUUCUUUGGUGGUUAUUGAUUACAUGGAUAACCGUGGUAAUUCUAGAGCUAAUACAUGCGCCCAGACCCAACUUUUAGGAAGGGUUGUAUUUAUUAGGUACAGAACCAAUGCAAGCUCCGCUUGACCUUUUGGUGAUUCAUGGUAACCGAACGAACCGCGUUCAGCGGUGAUUCUUUCUACAUUAUUCCCUAUCAGCUUUCGUUUUUUGUGUAGUGGACAAAAAAGGCUUUGACGGGUAACGGAGAAUUAGGGUUCGAUUCCGGAGAGGGAGCCUGAGAGAUGGCUACCACAUCCAAGGAAGGCAGCAGG